GGGCUGCAGUAUUUUGACUGUACAMAGGUAGCAUAAUCAAUAGUCUCUUAAUUGGUGACUUGUAUGAAAGAUUGGAUGAAAUAUAGACUGUCUCUAAUUAAUUUAUAAAAAUUAAUUUUUUAGUAAAAAAGCUAAAAUAAUUUUAAAAGACGAGAAGACCCUAUAGAGUUUAAUAAUUUAUUUAAUUAUUAUUAAUAUAUAAUUUUUAAAAUUAAAAUUAAAUAAAUUAUUUUGUUGGGGUGAUAGAAAAAUUAAAUUAACUUUUUUUAUUUAUUUACAUUAAUUUAUGACUAAAUGAUCCAUUUAUAAUGAUUAAAAGAAAAAAUUACCUUAGGGAUAACAGCGUAAUUUUUUUUUUUAGUUCAAAUAGGAAAAAAAGUUUGCGACCUCGAUGUUGGAUUAA
This 403-nucleotide ribosomal RNA is filed under the name Papilio polytes romulus. RNAcentral's name for it is "partial 16S ribosomal RNA". Lineage: Eukaryota; Metazoa; Arthropoda; Insecta; Lepidoptera; Papilionidae. The record is from RNAcentral.